UUACGCUGUUAUCCCUAAGGUAAUUUAUUUUAAAAUACUAAAUUUUAGGAUUAAUGAUUCAUUAAUUUAUGUAAAUUUUAUUAAAAAGUUUAUUAAAUUUAAAAAUUACCCCAAUUAAAUAUUAAUAAUAAUUUAUAAAAAAAUUAUUUUAAUUUUAAUUAUUAUUAUUAUAAAAUUCUAAAGGGUCUUCUCGUCUUUUAAAAAUAUUUAAGAAUUUUAACUUAAAAUUUAAUUUAAAUAUUUUUUAUUUAUAAAGAUUUUUACUCAUUUAAUCUUUCAUUCUAGUUUUUAAUUAAAAAACUAAUUAUUAUGCUACCUUAGUACAGUUAUGGAUACUGCAGCCAUUUAAAUUUUCAGUGGGCAGAUUAGACUUAAAAUUAUUAUCAAUAAGACAUGUUUUUGUUAAACAGGCG
RNAcentral lists this ribosomal RNA (413 nucleotides) under Protaphidius wissmannii. Its description in RNAcentral is "partial 16S ribosomal RNA". Lineage: Eukaryota; Metazoa; Arthropoda; Insecta; Hymenoptera; Braconidae. The record is from RNAcentral.